AAGAGAGAAAAAAAAUCAAGAGUGAGAAAGUUUUCAUAAAGUUCUUAGCUUUUCUUAAAGUUCUUAGUUUCCAAAGUUUGUAAGUAACUUAAAAAAAAAAAAAAAAGAGUGUGUGAAAAGUGUGAAAAAUUUUCUUAGUUCUUCAUUUUCCGGUAGCUGUCAAGUCUUCAGGGGACUCCCGAAAGGAAAACCUCACUUUUUCCUUAAGACAUCUAAGUAAUAGUUACAUAGGUUUUUGUAAUUUUCUCUCAAGUUUGUAAAUUAUAUUUAAAUUAAUUAAGUUUAUAUUUUCCUUCACAUAUGUUUUAUUAUUAAGAUCUGGAUCACCG
Molecule: long non-coding RNA, 329 nt
Filed under: Capsicum annuum
Lineage: Eukaryota; Viridiplantae; Streptophyta; Magnoliopsida; Solanales; Solanaceae
Description: long non-coding RNA (CANN_LNC017908)
Source: RNAcentral